RNAcentral lists this unclassified non-coding RNA (331 nucleotides) under uncultured bacterium. RNAcentral describes it as "contains 16S-23S intergenic spacer region". The record is from RNAcentral.
AUUUCUCUCGGUCCUUGAUGCCAGUUCCUGCCGCAUCACCAAUGUGGUUUUUCCGCCGAACCUUCAUUUGCUCGAUUGGGUGAAUCUUGCGCAAAACCGGCUGACACAUCUGACGCUGCCAACCGGAUUGGACAACCUGCGGCAACUUCAUCUUGGCGAAAAUCCGAUUCAAACUUUUGUCCUGCCUGAGGAGCUAUCGUCGGGUGCCUUGGCGCCCGUGGUCGAAGCCCAACAAGCGCGAGGCGCAACGAUAUAUACGUAUCCCUCCAAACCACAUCUGGCAGAGUUCAACUACACAGGCUCAAUGGCAGCUUACCUGUUGCGCGGACCC